GUGCCAGCCGCCGCGGUAAUACGUAGGUGGCGAGCGUUGUCCGGAAUCAUUGGGCGUAAAGAGCGCGUAGGUGGUUUGUCAGGUCUGAUGUGAAAUCCUGGGGCUCAACUCCAGAACUGCAUCGGAAACCGGCUUACUAGAGUCUGGGAGAGGAGAGUGGAAUUCCUGGUGUAGCGGUGAAAUGCGUAGAUAUCAGGAGGAACACCAGUAGCGAAGGCGGCUCUCUGGAACAGUACUGACGCUGAGGCGCGAAAGCUAGGGGAGCGAACAGGAUUAGAUACCCGCGUAGUCC
RNAcentral lists this ribosomal RNA (292 nucleotides) under uncultured bacterium. RNAcentral describes it as "partial 16S ribosomal RNA". It matches the Rfam family "Bacterial small subunit ribosomal RNA", at positions 505 to 796 of the family's 1533-position model. The record is from RNAcentral.